This 549-nucleotide long non-coding RNA is filed under the name Erythranthe guttata (spotted monkey flower). RNAcentral's name for it is "long non-coding RNA (EGUT_LNC001906)". Lineage: Eukaryota; Viridiplantae; Streptophyta; Magnoliopsida; Lamiales; Phrymaceae. The record is from RNAcentral.
GGGGAAUCUAUGUUCCGGUGGCGGAGAGAUCUCGGCGGAAUCAAAAUGUUUCUGUUCAAUUUGUCCGGAAAACACUUGCCCCUCUCGAAUCUACUUCGAACGAAACCCCCACCUUUAGAACUCGUAGGAAGAUUUGGCCGGAAAAGCCUGCCCUAUCAAACCUACCUUGGACCAGCCCGCACCCUUAGAUCUCGUCGGAAGAACUUCCCCGCAGUCGUCGUUCUCGCCAGAAAAUCGUGGUUGAAGGACGCAAGGGCUGAAGAUCCUCCAUUAUCGACGAAUGCCAGAGGGCUGGGGUUCUUCAAGAACCUUUCGGGGACAAAGAGAAAUUGGCGAUGGAGGAUGAGAUAGUCAUGAAGGCGAAGAGGGAAUAACCUCCGCUACGACGGUCUCACCGACGAGAAGAGUGGAGGAGGCGGUGGAAGAAGAAAUUUGUGGAAGAACGAAGAAGACGAUGUAUUACUGUAUUCGUUUUGUUUGUUUUAACAAUUUUAAAAAUUACAAUUUAGUCCUAUAAAUUUAGAUUAUUUAUAAUUAAAUCACUCUGGU